CCAGACGCACUGCGGCACAGCCAGACGACUAGAGUGGAGGCACAGGAGCUCACAGCUGCAGUCGACUGGCUUGUUUCGGGGAAGCAGAGGAGCCGAGCACUUCCUUUCGAAAUACUGUCGCUCUGCUCCUUUUUGCUGUUGAGGGAUAAUUUUCACUGGGACAGAGAGUAGAGCCAAGAAAGAAGACAAACUCUGAGUCAAACAACUUGGAAUUAACGUUGGUCUCAUUUGUGGACAGAAGAUUUAGAGAAGCGAACCUGGAUUGUGAUUUUUUGGAGCUGCUGACGCCAUCGUAUGCGAGUACCAGACUGGGUUUCCCAGAUUGAGAAGUCGGCGAUGAAAGCUUUGAUUCCAGUGCGUCACCUGUCCAUCCCGUCGUAAACCCGUCCCACACGAGACGUCCAGUCAGCCGGGCCUGUCUGCAGUCCCAUUCACGGUGACCAGCCAAAGUGGCCGCUCUGCUCCAAGGUUAAGGUGGCUUUUGGUCCUAGACUUAGUCCUUGUCCAGAGGGCAGGGCAGAGGCGAACAGAAACGGCGAUGAGGCAGCUGAGCCGAGCUCAGCCAGACAGACGCAGUGACCUAAAUCAGCCCCAGUCAUGUCUGGACGCAGCCAGAGCGAAGCAGAUGGAGAGGAAGACGAGAGAGGGAGAAAGCGACCCACACGUACUGACUCGAACAUAUCGACUACGUAAACGGCCGGAUAAAAGGCGGGCUGAAGUGAGUUGGUCAGACAGGCCUUGCCAAACCCACAGGCUGUUCUGCUGCUUUGCUACCGCUGUGGUGUUUUGAUGUGCGCUACUGUGCAGAUGCAGUUUUUGGGCCAUCACCAACAAGCUACCAUACAGGAGGAGACUCUCGGAAAGUAAGGGAUAUCUUUCAAGUAAGAAAUCCUGCUCCAGUGUGCCACAAGUCAUGGGGGAAGACAGGGCUUUGGAAGGAGAAAGAAAACCUUUGUUUUUUCUGUCCAUGGAGAAGUAUGUGAAGGCAUAAAUUCAUAAUGGCUCUCCAAGAAACAUAUACAGUAUGUUUUUGGGAAAGCUAUUUUGAAACUAGCUUGCCAAGGUAAGACAUUUAAAGUAGUUGAACUAAUGUCAAUGUAGUCUAUAAAAGAUAGCAAGCUAAAAGUAGAUAACUGCACUGAUUGAAGCUACUUAAAAGGGUAGUAAACCCCUUUCCUUUUUCUGUGGGACACAAGGUUUUGAUGAUCAGUAGGAACCAAUGAGUUUUGGACCAUAGACUGUUAUAUAGACAAAAAAAAGAGACAUUUCUCAAAAUGUCUCAAAAUAUCUACCUUUGUGUGCAGCUAAUUAAUCAGCUAAUCCAAUUUUUUUGUUAAAUGUACAACGAGAGUAAACAUAUGAAAGAUAUACACUACUUUAAAAGUAGAUAAAAAGUUUGAGGGUCAUAAGAUUUUUCUUCUUUUUGAUGUCUUUGUUUUUUUUCCCCUCACCAAAAGUAAUUUAUUUGAUGGAAAAUACAACAAAAAGACACAUAACACAUAGUUUUCUUUCUUUUUUGUAUUUUAAUACAUUUUAAAAUAUAAUUUAUUCUUUUGUAUAAUAAUAUAUGCAAUGCUCAAGAAACAUUUCUUAUUUUUAUCAGGUUGAAAACAGUUGUCCUGCUUAAUAUUUUUGUAAAAACCAUUAUAUUUUUUUAUUCAGCAUUCUUUGAAUAGAAAGUUCAAACAGCAUUUAUUUAAAAUAUUAUAUAUAUUUUAAUACAUUUAAACAGAUUUUAUUCUUGUGCAUAAUAAUAUAUGCAGUAAAUAUGCUGAUUUGCAUGCUCAUUAAAUAUUUCUUAUUUUUAUAAGGUUGAAAACAGUUGUCCUGCUUUAUAUUUUUAUAAAAACCAUUAUAUUUUUCUAAAAAGCAUUUUUUAUAAUAUUUAUAAUAGUUUUGUAAAAACUUUUUUCUCCCAGUAUUCUUUGAAUAGGAAGUUUAAAAAGCAUUUAUUUAAAAUAUUAUAUGUUUACUGACACUUUUCAUCAAUUUAAUGCCUCAAAAUAUCUUGCUGAAUAAAGGUAUUAAUUAAAAAAUAAAUAAAUAAUAAUAAUAAUUAGAACAUUUUAUUGACUCAGUACUUUUGAACAGUAGUAUACAUUUUAAUAAAUAUAAGUAAAAACUAGAAUACAUCCUAAUUUGUGUAACUAAACAGCAGUGUUUACCUAGAUAUUGCACCAAAAAAAAAAAAAAAAAAAGUUCCAGAGUCACAAUUCAGUGAAUGUGUGUGUGUCAGUUGCGUUGCUGUCUAUGCAGGGUUAGAAAGCUCUUAGAUUUAAUUAAAAAUACCUUAAUUUGUGUUCCAAAGAUGAACAACAUGAGGAUGAGUAAUUAAUGAUAUAAUUUUCAUUUUUGGGUGAACUAUCCCUUUAAGUUACUACUUUUAGUUAGCUAAUAUAAACUGUUGAACAGCAUUGCUAGCUGGACAGUCACUUAAAUUACAACGAGAUCCUGCUCACACAAGAUCUCUGAACAGAAUAAAAUACUGUGCAAUUUACACCAAAGUCUGUUUGAAAGAGCCCAUUGUCACUGUGGAAUAAGUAAAUACGAUAUGCGCCUGAACAUUCCCUAUGCUGGUGUAUUUUUUCUUAACACCAAGUCCCUCUCUUACACUCAUAACCCUACGUGUCACAUCCUGCCAGAGGAUUUUAAAGACGGCGUGCAAUUUUCAAUAAUGUUCCACAGGUCCUAAAGGAGCUCAAUAACUCCAGGCCUACAGAGGCCACUGAAUCAGCAUUUCAAAGUGAAACUCCUUUGCACAAAGACCUUUGAAUUGAAAUAGAAAAGUUUCUCCUUCCCAGUCGCAUGGGCUCAACUCUGAUUGACCCCUCUCAAUCUGUGCCGCUCUGUUGUAAAGAACAGGCAUAAAAUAAGGCAGAGUUAAUAGAGUUUAGGACUACGAGCCAAACCGCAUUGGAAUAGGAAGGAGAUGGAAAGAGUCACGGGAGGGAGAGCGAUUGAGGCCGAGAGAGAUUGAGCAAAGGGAGGAGAGAGAGGGAGCCCUAAGGGAGAGGGAUUGGGUCCGGGCUGCCUGAGGAGAUUCUCGGCUCUAAUUGGCCGAAUGCCUCCAAUCUGCGUUCCCACAAUUCCUUGUGUUUUAGUGACUUUCUCUAAAUUCUCUAUGGACUCGUCAAGGUUACCGUCACUCUUCAGUGUUAUCGCUGCACUCUAAGCCACUGUAGCAAAUUUGCUUUUAGCAUAGCCAUGAUGGACUACUGAGAAUAACUGAAUAUUCAGACCGGAAUGGGUGAUCAUUUGAGUCUAAUGCAUACAUACAGCUUUUCAUCAACUUGUCAAAUAGGGCUGGGUAAAAAAAGAAAUAAAAAAUGAUUUCUCGAUUUUAAUAAUUUCUCAUUUUUAUGAAACAAUAUUCAUUCUUAAAUCCCAAGGACUGAUUAGUCUAGACUGUUUCAGUUAAUGUAGGAAACAUUAUAGCACACCUGUCAUCCAGUGAAUCGUAAUAAGCUUUGUGCUUUGUUACUUUAGAUAUGAAACCAUCUCAGAUUUCAAAUUCUCUCCAUUUUAUUACAGUAUUCAAACAAUAAAUACCAUUUUGGCGCUGUUUUAAUGGUUGAAUGACAGAUCAUCUCAUGUAAUCACUCAAUCAGUGUUUUAACUGCAGAAAGAUGUCAGUAUAACAGCUUGUAAACAAUGUCACAUAACAAGUGUUGCCAACUCUCGCAAGCUAAAUAAGCAACCACAGCUUAAAAAAACAAGCCUAAUAUUAUUGUAUUAUUUAUUAUUAAAUAUUAUUUAUGCACAAUAAUUAUUGCACUGAUUGUCUUUAACCUGCGAGCAUACAGUGUCAACAAUAUAUUAGAAAAAAAAAAAAUGCGGACUUGGCAACUGUCAUGUAACGUCACAUUUACCUCAGAAAAAAAACAUAAUUGUUUACCAUAAACUUGUUAGGCAGCCAGAAAUAGGAAAUAGCACAAAAGUGCUUUAGCCAUGAUAAAGAAUAUAAGAAGUGCUCGGAGUUGCUGCAAAAAAAAUAAAAAAUAAAAAUAUGUUGCUGGAGAAGGACUUACUAAAAAUGCAAAUGCAUUCUCUGCCAGCAGGAGGAGCUUUUGGAGCAGUAGAAACAGAUCUACUUUAUCAGAUAAAAAUGAAAGCAUUUUGCUAAAUAUAUGCACCAUAUAUCAUAUAUUCAGUAUAUAUAUAUAUAUAUAUAUAUAUUUUUUUUUUUUACUGUUCUUCAAUAUUUCAUUUACUCUUGAAUAAAUCCAUUUCCAAAUCUAAGUUUGUAUGACAGCCACCAUUUAUAUAUUUAUAUUUCAAAAAAUUGAAGUAGAAUUAUAAUUAUGUAAUUGUAAAACUUCAAAAUCAGUUAAUUUUUACUCCCAAUACUGUAAUGUAGUACCAGGUGACUCUUAUGUAUGUUUUAAGCGUUAGAUUAAGAUUUUUUACUGUACCUGAUAUAUAUCCAAAAUAAUCAACAUUGAAUCGAAUAGAAAUCGGAAUUGGUAAAUCGGUAGAAAAAUCUGUUUAAAUUACAAGCUUGUGAGUAAAAAUCAAAUUGACCCUUCGCAAAAAUGCCCUCUCCUUAGUUACUGUUGCUUUGUCCGACAAACAAUGCCGCUCUCACACUACACAUUAUGUUCUCACGCAGUGAAAAAUACAUCACAGAAACUGACAACACGCCGACAGGCGAGACAGAGCACGUUAUUUCCGGUAUGAAACAACAUCUCAGCUUUAAAAUGUUGUCAUUUUUUAAGGAAUUCAAACAAUAAAUACCUUUACUGUAUUGAUCAAUGAUAAGUGAACCUAUCUUUACCUUCUUUACUUAAAAUGUGAAAAAAACAUGAAUGAACAUCAGAAUGUAUUUUGUUUCAACUGCGGAAAGAAAUCAAUACACAAAAGUUUAAGGUUACCGAAGUUAAUCUACUAUCCAGUCUGAUUUGUUUGUCGGACAGAAUGGCAGACUCUGCAUUAUGAUUGGUCAGAUCGCAUGUCAAUCAAGCUGUUUGCAAAGGGUCAACAGAAUGAAAUUUGUGUCAACACCCAGCCCUAUUGUCAUACACUUCACACAGCACUACAAUAAAACAGGCAUUGGGUAAUAUAUAAUAUCUGAUAAAAUCGGAUUAGAGUAAAAUAUUGAUGGUGAGCAAUAACUAGAUUUUCUUAUGUAUAUGUUUGUUUUUCACAGCAGUCAGUGUUGUGGUGUGACUGAAUUCUAUCUGCAUUAAUCUUGCCGUCUUUCUCUCAAAGAAGAUUGUUGUAUGUAUGAAAUAAAGAGGAUGUAAUGAAAAGCACGCCCUUGAAUCCCAAAGCCAUUGAGGUGUCUUUUCACUUCCAUUCCUGCACAAAGAUCUGCCUUUUUGCUUUUCUUCCAGCAAUGCCAAAGCUAACCGAAUAACCGCUUGUGUGUAUCAAAGUGGAAUCAAAUAAAGAAAUCAUCUCUA
Long non-coding RNA from Labeo rohita (rohu), 5402 nucleotides. RefSeq lists it as uncharacterized. The transcript has 3 exons. Lineage: Eukaryota; Metazoa; Chordata; Actinopteri; Cypriniformes; Cyprinidae. The record is from RefSeq and is a predicted model, not a curated record.